ACGGGGGGUGCGAGCGUUGUCCGGAAUCACUGGGCGUAAAGGGCGCGUAGGCGGCCCGGUAAGUCAAAGGUGAAAUCCCUCGGCUCAACUGAGGAACUGCCUUUGAAACUGUCGGGCUUGAGGCUGGGAGGGGGUAGCGGAAUUCCCAGUGUAGCGGUGAAAUGCGUAGAUAUUGGGAGGAACACCAGUGGCGAAGGCGGCUACCUGGACCGGUUCUGACGCUGAUGCGCGAAAGCGUGGGUAGCAAACAGGA
RNAcentral lists this ribosomal RNA (253 nucleotides) under uncultured prokaryote. RNAcentral describes it as "partial 16S ribosomal RNA". It matches the Rfam family "Bacterial small subunit ribosomal RNA", at positions 525 to 777 of the family's 1533-position model. The record is from RNAcentral.